RNAcentral lists this ribosomal RNA (497 nucleotides) under uncultured bacterium. RNAcentral describes it as "partial 16S ribosomal RNA". It matches the Rfam family "Bacterial small subunit ribosomal RNA", at positions 28 to 507 of the family's 1533-position model. The record is from RNAcentral.
GAUGAACGCUGGCGGCGUGCCUAAUACAUGCAAGUCGAGCGAACGGACGAGAAGCUUGCUUCUCUGAUGUUAGCGGCGGACGGGUGAGUAACACGUGGAUAACCUACCUAUAAGACUGGGAUAACUUCGGGAAACCGGAGCUAAUACCGGAUAAUAUUUUGAACCGCAUGGUUCAAAAGUGAAAGACGGUCUUGCUGUCACUUAUAGAUGGAUCCGCGCUGCAUUAGCUAGUUGGUAAGGUAACGGCUUACCAAGGCAACGAUGCAUAGCCGACCUGAGAGGGUGAUCGGCCACACUGGAACUGAGACACGGUCCAGACUCCUACGGGAGGCAGCAGUAGGGAAUCUUCCGCAAUGGGCGAAAGCCUGACGGAGCAACGCCGCGUGAGUGAUGCAGGUCUUCGGAUCGUAAAACUCUGUUAUUAGGGAAGAACAUAUGUGUAAGUAACUGUGCACAUCUUGACGGUACCUAAUCAGAAAGCCACGGCUAACUACGUG